RNAcentral lists this non-coding RNA (404 nucleotides) under uncultured fungus. RNAcentral also lists the same sequence under 1 other name. The record is from RNAcentral. Lineage: Eukaryota; Fungi.
AGAGUCAAACAGUACGUGAAAUUGUUGAAAGGGAAACGAUUGAAGUCAGUCAUGUGAUCAAAGAAAUCAUCUUAACAUGAGUUGAAUUUUUUAUUAGAUUCAGGUUCUUUUUUUAAAUUCUUUUUGUGUCGAGUGUAAUUUCUUGAUUACAGGUUAGCAUCGAUUUUGUGGGUUGUAAAAUAAUUGGGGUAAUGUAGCUCUUCUUCGGGAGAGUGUUAUAGACCUUGAUAGGAUGCAAUCUGCGAGAUCGAGGAUUGCAGCAAAUACCCUUUGGGCUUGUCACCUGAUCCCUGGAAGUAGUUCCGUUGAUGGCAAUAUUCUUGACAUUGAUGGAAUAAUAUGACCAUUGGAUUAGAGUGAUCUAAAAUUUGCUAAGGAUGCUGACGAAAUGGCUUUAAACGACC